Molecule: ribosomal RNA, 433 nt
Filed under: uncultured bacterium
Lineage: Bacteria
Description: partial 16S ribosomal RNA
Rfam family: Bacterial small subunit ribosomal RNA
Source: RNAcentral
AGCGAACGCUGGCGGCAGGCUUAACACAUGCAAGUCGAGCGGGCCUUUCGGGGUCAGCGGCGGACGGGUGAGUAACGCGUGGGAACGUGCCCUCUGGUUCGGAAUAACUCAGGGGAACUUGAGCUAAUACCGGAUACGCCCUUUUGGGGGAAGGCUUGCUGCCGGAGGAUCGGCCCGCGUCUGAUUAGCUAGUUGGUGAGGUAACGGCUCACCAAGGCGACGAUCAGUAGCUGGUCUGAGAGGAUGAUCAGCCACACUGGGACUGAGACACGGCCCAGACUACUGCGGGAGGCAGCAGUGGGGAAUAUUGGAAAAUGGGCGCAAGCCUGAUCCAGCCAUGCCGCGUGAGUGAUGAAGGCCUUAGGGUUGUAAAGCUCUUUUAUCCGGGACGAUAAUGACGGUACCGGAAGAAUAAGCCCCGGCUAACUUCGUG